This is a long non-coding RNA of Laticauda laticaudata (blue-ringed sea krait), 2973 nucleotides long. NCBI's taxonomy places the organism in Eukaryota, Metazoa, Chordata, Lepidosauria, Squamata, Elapidae. The record is from Ensembl.
GGAAAUAUAUUGGUACCUAUCUGGUGAAAACUGACUCUGAAAAGUCCCAUGGUUUUUCACCUAAUUAAAAGUAAUUUUUUUCUCUCAACCCCAGUCACAUGGUCCAAUCAAGGGGGCUGUCUGAAGAUCCAGUGACAUCACUCCUCCUUCCUCUGAUCAGCUUCAGAAGUUCAUCCAGUGGCUUGAGGAAGCGGAAGAAGAGUCGUCCGAAGGGGAGCAAAACUGACCUGGCGGCCUCCACCAGAAAGAAAGGCGAGCUUUGCUCUCUUUCUUGGGAAAAAGGGAGGCCCAAAGCACCCAUCGUGGCUGAAGGAGGUGGCCAAAGAAGCAAGAACAAAUUGUGUGCAUGGCCCGCUCCCCCAUGCAUGUGGGAUUUGAACUCUCGGCUGGCUGACAAUCCUGUGGCUUAUUUAGUUGUAUAUUUAAUGUUCCUGGCAGACACAUGUGGGACGGAAGGAAACUAUUGCUGGAUAAACCAGAGACCUGUAUAUGAUUUAAAGUCUUUUGAAGGGGUGUGUAUACACACAAAUGUGUGCUUCUGGUUAUAUCUACACAUAUAUGUGUAUGUGUACACACACACACACACACACACAUAUCUAAAGCUACCCACUGGGGACAAGGGAUGAGAGUUGGGUGUCUACUAAUGUCCAGGUAAGCAGUAAAGAUGUGCAAAUCCCAAGUCGACCUUAACAGUUAGGAUUCCAACCACUUUUGAGUUCUUCACCCCAAAAAUAAUAAUCUCUUAAAACUUCUUGCAUUUGCUUGUGUCCAUGGGAAGGGGUUCAUUCAGUCCAAGAACCAGUUCUAAAGCAGAAAAGAGAAAGACAAAGUUAGACCAGUAGGAUAAGCCAGGACAGAGAAUAUGCAAUAGCCAAAUGUGUCCUUUGACCCUAACCCUAAACUAGGGAAUUUAACUCCAGAAAAAAAGAACCUUCCUGGGGGAGAAAAUCUGCUUUUUGAAGUCAGGGCAGUUCCACAUGCUCACUUAGAAAUGUGAUGUCAUCCCAAACUACGGAGCCCCCCUCCCCCUUCACUUCUCUUUGCAUAAAAUGGGAAAAUGGCUCAUCUACCUCACAAAGCAUUUGUCGAUAAAGAGAAACCCGUGUAACGAAUAAGUGUUCUUAGGUCUCUCACGUCGGUUGCUCUGUUGUGCAUCGGUCUUACUGACAAGCCUGGUUCUUCGGAGCUGGAUGACGUGUCUUGUUUUUUGAGGAAAAAAAUGGGACUGUUUCUCCUGAAGCUGCUGGAGUCCUCUCAGCCUCUGACAAAAUACGUGGGGGUUUUUUUUGUGUGUGUGUGUGUGAUUUUUGUGGUUCAACUUUGACCACAUAUUGACUCCCCAUAUAUCCUAGCUAGGCCUCUCAUGGACACUUUGCAUAGGAUUCUGCUCAUUCUGACAGUUUUCAAACCCUCAGGAGAACUUCUCCUGUUGAUAGUGUUUGUUGGAACACUGGUGGCUCAAGGUUUGUCAGAUAAAAAGGUUUUAGUAGCUUGUUUUUUCUAACACAGGGGUCUCCAAACUUGGCAAUUUUAAGGCUUGUGGACUUCAUCUCCCAGAAUUCCUCAGCCAGCCAUGUUGGAAUUCUGGGUGUUGAAGUCCACAAGUCAUAGAAAUCUGUGGAGAUUCUCAGUCAUCCAGAUGAUGGUUGUCCCAAAGAUGCUUUUUCAGGAGGCAACUGGACUUUUAUAUUUUUUUUUCUUUUGAAAUCCAAGAAGCUUCUUCAGCUCUGACUGGAUGGCGUGGAAUGGAAGGAUUUGUAUUCCUCUCCAAAGGAUGCAAAUGACUAUCUGUCUGCAAAGAAUAUAAAAUCCUUCCAUACCCCACUAUCCUGUCAGAGCUGAAGAAGUUUCUUGGGUGAGAAGCUAAACGUCUUCAAAGAAAACAACAAAGUCCAGUUGCCUCCUGAAAAAAAAGCACCUUUGGGACAAGUCUUAAAGGUUACCAAGUUUGGAGGCCCCUGUUCCUUUUUGACCCAUUGUCAUUGCUGAUAGAGUUCUCCAAUCUCUUUUCUUGAUCACAGUUCAGCGUCUGGGGGAUGCUGGUGGCGAUAAGAAUUCAGAAGUCAAGAACUUGGGUUCAAAUUGGUGGUGACCAACAUGCAGCCUUUCAAAUCUUAACCAUUGGUCAUAAUGGAUUUUACUCACUUGAGUUGUACUUCAAAUAUCUCUUAAUAAGCCAACAGAUUUUCACCUUGGAAUCGCUUGCCAGCAUUCUUCCUAGAAAGGAGAGAAAAACUGAAUAGCAAACCCUUCCCCCCCCCGAUCGAUUGUCUCAAAGAGUGACUUAAAUGUCUGGGAAACAUUUCCUGGUUUGUUUUUUUUGGUGUGUGGGGGAAAGAGUUUAAACACUUCUCAAGUCCAUUUGUAAAUUCUGUGAAAGAAGUUCUCUUUUUUCUCUCCCGUCCAUGCUAAUAUUCAAUUUGGAGUCAUUAAACCCCUCUGAUGCAAAGAAUGACUUGUUGGUUCUGCCAUAUAUUGGAAUCUGAAAAAAGGCUUUUAUGUUAGAGACACUGCUAGAAGAUUGACAACACCUCAGGCUUAAAAAAUAUUUUUAGGCAAGUCAAAUUGGAAUCCGCAAGUGCCACUUCACUGUUGUGUUUUGUUUUGUUUUGUGUGUGUGUGUGUGUGUGUCUAAAGCCUGUUCUUUCCAUUCUUGCAUUCUGGGUUUCCUUGCUUCAAUGUUUGUUAUUUACUUCUUGUUUUACUUGUUUAUUUUGAACCCCACCUUUUAUCAUUUUUACAAAUAAUUCAAGGUGGUGAACAGAUUAGAAUAGAAUAACGGGGUUGGAAGGAACCAUGGAGGUCUUCUAGUCCAACCCCCUGCUUAGGCAGGAAACCACCCUAUACCACAAAUGGUUAUCCAAUCUCUUCUUUAAAACUUCCAGUGUAGGGGCAUUCACAAUCUCUGAAGGCAAGUUGUUCCCCUGAUUAAUUGUUCUGUCAGAAGAUUUCUCCUUAGUCCUAAAUUGAUUU